GCACCCUUAGCUCAGUUGGUAGAGCAACUGACUCUUAAUCAGUGGGUCUAGGGUUCGAAUCCCUAAGGGUGUACAA
RNAcentral lists this transfer RNA (76 nucleotides) under Prevotella bivia. Its description in RNAcentral is "tRNA-Lys". It matches the Rfam family "tRNA". Rfam says of the family: Transfer RNA (tRNA) molecules are approximately 80 nucleotides in length. Lineage: Bacteria; Pseudomonadati; Bacteroidota; Bacteroidia; Bacteroidales; Prevotellaceae. RNAcentral also lists the same sequence under 57 other names. The record is from RNAcentral.